GACGAACGCUUGCGGCGUGCUUAACACAUGCAAGUCGAACGGAAAGGCCCUGCUUUUGUGGGGUGCUCGAGUGGCGAACGGGUGAGUAACACGUGAGUAACCUGCCCUUGACUUUGGGAUAACUUCAGGAAACUGGGGCUAAUACCGGAUAGGAGCUCCUGCUGCAUGGUGGGGGUUGGAAAGUUUCGGCGGUUGGGGAUGGACUCGCGGCUUAUCAGCUUGUUGGUGGGGUAGUGGCUUACCAAGGCUUUGACGGGUAGCCGGCCUGAGAGGGUGACCGGCCACAUUGGGACUGAGAUACGGCCCAGACUCCUACGGGAGGCAGCAGUGGGGAAUAUUGCACAAUGGGCGGAAGCCUGAUGCAGCAACGCCGCGUGCGGGAUGACGGCCUUCGGGUUGUAAACCGCUUUCGCCUGUGACGAAGCGUGAGUGACGGUAAUGGGUAAAGAAGCACCGGCUAACUACGUGCCAGCAGCCGCGGUGAUACGUAGGGUGCGAGCGUUGUCCGGAUUUAUUGGGCGUAAAGGGCUCGUAGGUGGUUGAUCGCGUCGGAAGUGUAAUCUUGGGGCUUAACCCUGAGCGUGCUUUCGAUACGGGUUGACUUGAGGAAGGUAGGGGAGAAUGGAAUUCCUGGUGGAGCGGUGGAAUGCGCAGAUAUCAGGAGGAACACCAGUGGCGAAGGCGGUUCUCUGGGCCUUUCCUGACGCUGAGGAGCGAAAGCGUGGGGAGCGAACAGGCUUAGAUACCCUGGUAGUCCACGCUGUAAACGGUGGGUACUAGGUGUGGGGUCCAUUCCACGGGUUCCGUGCCGUGGCUAACGCUUUAAGUACCCCGCCUGGGGAGUACGGCCGCAAGGCUAAAACUCAAAGGAAUUGACGGGGCCCCGCACAAGCGGCGGAGCAUGCGGAUUAAUUCGAUGCAACGCGUAGAACCUUACCUGGGUUUGACAUGGAUCGGGAGUGCUCAGAGAUGGGUGUGCCUCUUUUAGGGUCGGUUCACAGGUGGUGCAUGGCUGUCGUCAGCUCGUGUCGUGAGAUGUUGGGUUAAGUCCCGCAACGAGCGCAACCCUUGUUCACUGUUGCCAGCACGUUAUGGUGGGGACUCAGUGGAGACCGCCGGGGUCAACUCGGAGGAAGGUGGGGAUGACGUCAAGUCAUCAUGCCCCUUAUGUCCAGGGCUUCACGCAUGCUACAAUGGCUGGUACAGAGAGUGGCGAGCCUGUGAGGGUGAGCGAAUCUCGGAAAGCCGGUCUCAGUUCGGAUUGGGGUCUGCAACUCGACCUCAUGAAGUCGGAGUCGCUAGUAAUCGCAGAUCAGCAACGCUGCGGUGAAUACGUUCCCGGGGCU
RNAcentral lists this ribosomal RNA (1346 nucleotides) under uncultured bacterium. Its description in RNAcentral is "partial 16S ribosomal RNA". It matches the Rfam family "Bacterial small subunit ribosomal RNA", at positions 28 to 1381 of the family's 1533-position model. The record is from RNAcentral.